UUAAAAAGAGAUCUUACAGUAGUAAUUGCAUGCAACUUAAAACUUAUAUGGUUGUGUUUAUUGGUUUCACUUGUUAGAAGCUCUUUCACUCUCGUUUUGGGGGGAAAAUUAUCAUGCUUAUUUUCUCAUUAGUGACUGAUUGGUGAUGAACCAGAUGCCAAUCCAAACAGCACAAACAGAAGAACAUCAAAACCAAUAUAGUUUGCUGCAAUAACUGCAGACGGGUAGAAAGAAAAAGAAAUUAUCAAAUUCAACAACAGCAGAUCAGAAAUUGGAUUUUAUCAAGGCUGAGGAGCAUAAACCUGUCGAUGACACCGUUGAUUCUUUUCAUGUAAUUAUC
This is a long non-coding RNA of Hibiscus syriacus, 340 nucleotides long. RefSeq lists it as uncharacterized. The transcript has 3 exons. Lineage: Eukaryota; Viridiplantae; Streptophyta; Magnoliopsida; Malvales; Malvaceae. The record is from RefSeq and is a predicted model, not a curated record.